RNAcentral lists this ribosomal RNA (254 nucleotides) under uncultured bacterium. Its description in RNAcentral is "partial 16S ribosomal RNA". It matches the Rfam family "Bacterial small subunit ribosomal RNA", at positions 524 to 776 of the family's 1533-position model. The record is from RNAcentral.
UACGGAGGGUGCAAGCGUUGUUCGGAAUCAUUGGGCGUAAAGCGCGCGCAGGCGGCUUUCUAAGUCCAGAGGUGAAAUGCCGGGGCUCAACCCCGCGCGUGCCUCGGAUACUGGGAGGCUGGAGACAGGUAGAGGCGAGCGGAAUUCCGGGUGUAGCGGUGAAAUGCGCAGAUAUCAGGAGGAACACCGAUGGCGAAGGCAGGUCUCUGGGCCGAUACUGACGCUGAGGAGCGAAAGCGUGGGGAGCGAACAGG